RNAcentral lists this ribosomal RNA (440 nucleotides) under uncultured bacterium. Its description in RNAcentral is "partial 16S ribosomal RNA". It matches the Rfam family "Bacterial small subunit ribosomal RNA", at positions 338 to 795 of the family's 1533-position model. The record is from RNAcentral.
CCUACGGGGGGCAGCAGUGGGGGAUAUUGCACAAUGGGGGGAACCCUGAUGCAGCGACGCCGCGUGGGUGAAGAAGCGCCUCGGCGCGUAAAGCCCUGUCAGCAGGGAAGAAAAUGACGGUACCUGAAGACGACGCCCCGGCUAACUACGUGCCAGCAGCCGCGGUCAUACGGAGGGGGCAAGCGUUAUCCGGAUUUACUGGGUGUAAAGGGGGCGCAGACGGGGAUGCAAGCCAGGAGUGAAGGCCCGGGGCCCAACCCCGGGACUGUGCUUGGCACUGCGGGGCUGGAGUGCAGGAGGGGAAGGCGGAAUUCCUGGUGGAGCGGUGAAAUGCGUAGAUAUCAGGAGGAACACCGGUGGCGAAGGCGGCCUGCUGGACUGCAACUGACGUUGAGGCCCGAAAGCGUGGGGAGCAAACAGGAUUAGAUACCCGAGUAGUC